CAAAGGAAUUGACGGGGCCCGCACAAGCGGAGGAACAUGUGGUUUAAUUCGAUGAUACGCGAGGAACCUUACCUGGGCUUAAAUGUAGAGUGCAUUUUUUAGAGAUAGAAAUUCCCUUCGGGGCUUUCUGCAAGGUGCUGCAUGGUUGUCGUCAGCUCGUGCCGUGAGGUGUCGGGUUAAGUCCCAUAACGAGCGCAACCCUUAUCGUUAGUUGCCAUCUGGUAAUGCAGGGGACUCUAGCGAAACUGCCACCGUAAGGUGAGAGGAAGUGGGGAUGACGUCAAAUCAGCACGGCCCUUAUGUCCAGGGCUACACACGUGUUACAAUGGUCGGUACAGAGGGCAGCUACCUGGUGACAGGAUGCUAAUCUCGAAAACCGGUCUCAGUUCGGAUCGAAGUCUGCAACUCGACUUCGUGAAGCCGGAUUCGCUAGUAAUCGCGCAUCAGCUAUGGCGCGGUGAAUACGUUCCCGGGCCUU
RNAcentral lists this ribosomal RNA (478 nucleotides) under uncultured Sphingobacteriales bacterium. RNAcentral describes it as "bacterial SSU rRNA". It matches the Rfam family "Bacterial small subunit ribosomal RNA", at positions 902 to 1382 of the family's 1533-position model. Lineage: Bacteria; Pseudomonadati; Bacteroidota; Sphingobacteriia; Sphingobacteriales. The record is from RNAcentral.